RNAcentral lists this ribosomal RNA (497 nucleotides) under uncultured bacterium. RNAcentral describes it as "partial 16S ribosomal RNA". It matches the Rfam family "Bacterial small subunit ribosomal RNA", at positions 28 to 507 of the family's 1533-position model. The record is from RNAcentral.
GAUGAACGCUGGCGGCGUGCCUAAUACAUGCAAGUCGAGCGAACAGACGAGGAGCUUGCUCCUCUGACGUUAGCGGCGGACGGGUGAGUAACACGUGGAUAACCUACUUAUAAGACUGGGAUAAUUUCGGGAAACCGGAUCUAAUACCGGAUAAUAUAUUGAACCGCAUGGUUCAAUAGUGAAAGACGGCUUUGCUGUCACUAAUAGAUGCAUCCGCGCUGCAUUAGCUAGUUGGUAAGGUAACGGCUUACCAAGGCGACGAUGCGUAGCCGACCUGAGAGGGUGAUCGGCCACACUGGAACUGAGACACGGUCCAGACUCCUACGGGAGGCAGCAGUAGGGAAUCUUCCGCAAUGGGCGAAAGCUUGACGGAGCAACGCCGCGUGAGUGAUGAAGGUCUUCGGAUCGUAAAGCUCUGUUAUUAGGGAAGAACAAAUGUGUAAGUAACUAUGCACGUCUUGACGGUACCUAAUCAGAAAGCCACGGCUAACUACGUG